GUCUACGGCCAUACCACCCUGAACGCACCCGAUCUCGUCUGAUCUCGGAAGCUAAGCAGGGUCGGGCCUGGUUAGUACUUGGAUGGGAGAAAUGGAAGAUAAAUAUGUUGGAAAUGAUGCAGUAAACU
RNAcentral lists this ribosomal RNA (128 nucleotides) under Neogale vison (American mink). Lineage: Eukaryota; Metazoa; Chordata; Mammalia; Carnivora; Mustelidae. The record is from RNAcentral.